Molecule: non-coding RNA, 23 nt
Filed under: Cricetulus griseus (Chinese hamster)
Lineage: Eukaryota; Metazoa; Chordata; Mammalia; Rodentia; Cricetidae
Source: RNAcentral
CGGAAAGGGGAGUGGGACAUCAC